UUCCCACUUCAGCAGCAAAUAUACUAAAAUUGGAAUGAUACAGUGAAGAUUAGCAAGUCCCCUGCCCAAGGAUAACAAGAAAAUUAGUGAAGCAUUCCAUAUUUUG
Octodon degus (degu) is the source of this 106-nucleotide small nuclear RNA. The record is from Ensembl. NCBI's taxonomy places the organism in Eukaryota, Metazoa, Chordata, Mammalia, Rodentia, Octodontidae.